Molecule: ribosomal RNA, 837 nt
Filed under: Mierspenaeopsis sculptilis
Lineage: Eukaryota; Metazoa; Arthropoda; Malacostraca; Decapoda; Penaeidae
Description: SSU rRNA
Rfam family: Eukaryotic small subunit ribosomal RNA
Source: RNAcentral
UACCGAUCGAUACAUCUAUCGUGAAUCUCCCGCACUGCGGUGCGAUUGCGGAUAAUCACAGCGUAGCAGGGAGACUGAUAAACGGCUACCACAUACUAAGGAAGGCAGCAGGCGCGCAAAUUACCCACUCCCGGCCCGGGUAGCUAGUGAGAAAAAAUACUGUUGCGAGCCCCGAACGGGGCCUCGCAAUUGGAAUGAGUACACUUUAAAUCCUUGUACGAGGAUCGAGUGGAGGGCAAGUCUGGUGCCAGCCGCCGCGGUAAUUCCAGCUCCACUAGCGUAUAUUAAAGUUGUUGCGGUUGAAACGCUCGUAGUUUGACUUCUGCUCCGGACCGGCGGUCCGCCUUAACGGCGGCUACUGCCGGGUUCCGAGCUGUGUCCCCGCCGGCGCACAUGGGGUUUUUAUGCCCUUAACCGGGGGUCCCCUUGUGGCCUGCACGUUUACUUUGAAAAAAUUAGAAUGCUCACAGCAGGCUGGUUUUUGCUUAACCCCCGAAUGGUCGUGCAUGGAAUGAUGGAACAGGACCUCGGUUCUAUUUUGUCGGUUUUUCGGAGCACGAGGUAAUGAUUAAUAGAAUGAGACGGGACUUUUCCUACUGCGACCCUCGAGGUGAGAUUCUUAGAGCGUCCCAUGACGACCUAAUGCCAAAGCAUCUGCUAAGGAUGUUUUCUUUGAUCACUAACUCCCCGUAGAGGUUCGAAGGCGAUGCAUACCUGCUGCCUUCUAACCUUAAACGAUGCUGACUAGCGAUCCCCCGCAGUUAUUCCCAUGACCCGGCGGGUAGCUUCCGAUAACCAUUGUCUUUGAUUUCCUACGGACGAAGGUGGCAAAGCUGA